GGAAGUGAAACAUCUAAGUACUAAUAUAUGAAAAUCAAACGAGAAUUUAUUAGUAGUGGUGAGCGAAUUUAAAUUUGUUUUAUAAAUAAAAGGAUAAAAAAAUGUGGAAUUCAUUUUAUGAUUUUUUGUUAAAGUCAAAAAUAUCUAAAAAAUUUUUAUUUAUAAAAAUAGAGUAGAUUGUUUUGUUAAAUGCAAUCGAAGAAAGGAGAUCCACCUUCUAAAACUUGUAAACAUUAUUACCAAUAGCGUAAAGUACCGUGAGGGAAAGCUUGAAAAGUACCUUUAACAAAGUAAAAGGAGUGAAAAGUAUAAAAUUCUAAAUUACGUGAGCUAUUGAUGCACAUUUUUGUGUAACAAUGUACCUUUUGUAUAAUGGAUCAACGAGUUGAUAUGUUUAGCAAAACGAAAGUUUAAGCUUAGGUUUUAAUGAAAAUGAGUUAUCAAUAACAUAAGUUAAACAUAUUAUUUUACCGAAACUGAAUGAUCUAGUCAUGUACAAGUUAAAAGACUGAACUCGUGUAUGUUGCAUUAUACUGGAUGAUAUGUGAUUAGGGGUGAAA
Molecule: ribosomal RNA, 560 nt
Filed under: uncultured bacterium
Lineage: Bacteria
Description: bacterial LSU rRNA
Rfam family: Bacterial large subunit ribosomal RNA
Source: RNAcentral